UACGGAGGAUCCAAGCGUCAUCCGGAUUCAUUGGGUUUAAAGGGUGCGUAGGCGGAAUAAUAAGUCAGUGGUGAAAUCCUUCAGCUUAACUGGAGAACUGCCAUUGAUACUGUUAAUCUUGAGUACACUUGAUGAGGGCGGAAUGUGUCAUGUAGCGGUGAAAUGCUUAGAUAUGACACAGAACACCGAUUGCGAAGGCAGCUCUCAAAACUGUAACUGACGCUGAGGCACGAAAGCGUGGGGAUCAAACAGG
This 253-nucleotide ribosomal RNA is filed under the name uncultured bacterium. RNAcentral describes it as "partial 16S ribosomal RNA". It matches the Rfam family "Bacterial small subunit ribosomal RNA", at positions 524 to 776 of the family's 1533-position model. The record is from RNAcentral.